Molecule: ribosomal RNA, 301 nt
Filed under: uncultured bacterium
Lineage: Bacteria
Description: partial 16S ribosomal RNA
Rfam family: Bacterial small subunit ribosomal RNA
Source: RNAcentral
CAGCAGCCGCGGUAAUACGAAGGGGGCUAGCGUUGUUCGGAUUUACUGGGCGUAAAGCGCACGUAGGCGGACUUUUAAGUCAGGGGUGAAAUCCCGGGGCUCAACCCCGGAACUGCCUUUGAUACUGGGAGUCUUGAGUUCGAGAGAGGUGAGUGGAAUUGCGAGUGUAGAGGUGAAAUUCGUAGAUAUUCGCAGGAACACCAGUGGCGAAGGCGGCUCACUGGCUCGAUACUGACGCUGAGGUGCGAAAGCGUGGGGAGCAAACAGGAUUAGAUACCCGGGUAGUCCCUGUCUCUUAUAC